RNAcentral lists this ribosomal RNA (709 nucleotides) under uncultured Lentibacter sp. RNAcentral describes it as "bacterial SSU rRNA". It matches the Rfam family "Bacterial small subunit ribosomal RNA", at positions 121 to 865 of the family's 1533-position model. The record is from RNAcentral. Lineage: Bacteria; Pseudomonadati; Pseudomonadota; Alphaproteobacteria; Rhodobacterales; Roseobacteraceae.
GGAACGUACCCAGAUCUAAGGAAUAGCCACUGGAAACGGUGAGUAAUACCUUAUACGCCCUUCGGGGGAAAGAUUUAUCGGAUUUGGAUCGGCCCGCGUUAGAUUAGAUAGUUGGUGGGGUAAUGGCCUACCAAGUCUACGAUCUAUAGCUGGUUUUAGAGGAUGAUCAGCAACACUGGGACUGAGACACGGCCCAGACUCCUACGGGAGGCAGCAGUGGGGAAUCUUGGACAAUGGGCGCAAGCCUGAUCCAGCCAUGCCGCGUGAGUGAUGAAGGCCUUAGGGUCGUAAAGCUCUUUCGCCAGAGAUGAUAAUGACAGUAUCUGGUAAAGAAACCCCGGCUAACUCCGUGCCAGCAGCCGCGGUAAUACGGAGGGGGUUAGCGUUGUUCGGAAUUACUGGGCGUAAAGCGUACGUAGGCGGAUUAGUCAGUCAGAGGUGAAAUCCCAGGGCUCAACCCUGGAACUGCCUUUGAUACUGCUAGUCUUGAGUUCGAGAGAGGUGAGUGGAAUUCCAAGUGUAGAGGUGAAAUUCGUAGAUAUUUGGAGGAACACCAGUGGCGAAGGCGGCUCACUGGCUCGAUACUGACGCUGAGGUACGAAAGUGUGGGGAGCAAACAGGAUUAGAUACCCUGGUAGUCCACACCGUAAACGAUGAAUGCCAGUCGUCGGGCAGUAUACUGUUCGGUGACACACCUAACGGAUUAAGC